This 77-nucleotide transfer RNA is filed under the name Caudoviricetes sp. RNAcentral describes it as "tRNA-Cys". It matches the Rfam family "tRNA". Rfam says of the family: Transfer RNA (tRNA) molecules are approximately 80 nucleotides in length. Their secondary structure includes four short double-helical elements and three loops (D, anti-codon, and T loops). Further hydrogen bonds mediate the characteristic L-shaped molecular structure. tRNAs have two regions of fundamental functional importance: the anti-codon, which is responsible for specific mRNA codon recognition, and the 3' end, to which the tRNAs corresponding amino acid is attached (by aminoacyl-tRNA synthetases). tRNAs cope with the degeneracy of the genetic code in two manners: having more than one tRNA (with a specific anti-codon) for a particular amino acid; and 'wobble' base-pairing, i.e. permitting non-standard base-pairing at the 3rd anti-codon position. The record is from RNAcentral. Lineage: Duplodnaviria; Heunggongvirae; Uroviricota; Caudoviricetes.
GCCUUCGUGCCUGAAUGGAAUAAGGGGACGGUCUGCAAAACCGUUUUGUGCAGGUUCGAGUCCUGUCGAAGGCUCCA